RNAcentral lists this ribosomal RNA (985 nucleotides) under Campylobacter coli. Its description in RNAcentral is "partial 23S ribosomal RNA". It matches the Rfam family "Bacterial large subunit ribosomal RNA", at positions 1 to 1000 of the family's 2925-position model. The record is from RNAcentral. Lineage: Bacteria; Pseudomonadati; Campylobacterota; Epsilonproteobacteria; Campylobacterales; Campylobacteraceae.
AAAAAAGGUAAGCUACUAAGAGCGAAUGGUGGAUGCCUUGACUGGUAAAGGCGAUGAAGGACGUACUAGACUGCGAUAAGCUACGGGGAGCUGUCAAGAAGCUUUGAUCCGUAGAUUUCCGAAUGGGGCAACCCAAUGUAUAGAGAUAUACAUUACCUAUAUAGGAGCGAACGAGGGGAAUUGAAACAUCUUAGUACCCUCAGGAAAAGAAAUCAAUAGAGAUUGCGUCAGUAGCGGCGAGCGAAAGCGCAAGAGGGCAAACCCAGUGCUUGCACUGGGGGUUGUAGGACUGCAAUGUGCAAGAGGUAAGUUUAGCAGAACAUUCUGGAAAGUAUAACCAUAGAGGGUGAUAGUCCCGUAUGCGAAAAACAAACCUUAGCUAGCAGUAUCCUGAGUAGGGCGGGACACGAGGAAUCCUGUCUGAAUCUGGGUCGACCACGAUCCAACCCUAAAUACUAAUACCAGAUCGAUAGUGCACAAGUACCGUGAGGGAAAGGUGAAAAGAACUGAGGUGAUCAGAGUGAAAUAGAACCUGAAACCAUUUGCUUACAAUCAUUCAGAGCCCUAUGUAGCAAUACAGGGUGAUGGACUGCCUUUUGCAUAAUGAGCCUGCGAGUUGUGGUGUCUGGCAAGGUUAAGCAAACGCGAAGCCGUAGCGAAAGCGAGUCUGAAUAGGGCGCUUAGUCAGAUGCUGCAGACCCGAAACGAAGUGAUCUAUCCAUGAGCAAGUUGAAGCUAGUGUAAGAACUAGUGGAGGACUGAACCCAUAGGCGUUGAAAAGCCCCGGGAUGACUUGUGGAUAGGGGUGAAAGGCCAAUCAAACUUCGUGAUAGCUGGUUCUCUCCGAAAUAUAUUUAGGUAUAGCGUUGUGUCGUAAUAUAAGGGGGUAGAGCACUGAAUGGGCUAGGGCAUACACCAAUGUACCAAACCCUAUCAAACUCCGAAUACCUUAUAUGUAAUCACAGCAGUCAGGCGGCGAGUGAUA